UUAUUUUCCCUAACCUUGCUCUACCUUCUCUCUACCCUUACACAAAUUUCAACUGUUGCAUUGAUAAAUAGGUGGUGUUCUUUCGUUCACAGAGUUGAGAGCUUCACAACCAUUUGAUUAGAUUCUCGUUCUUCAACGGGGUUUGAUUGGGUUCUCUUUGAGUUGGGCACUCUUGAAUCAAGUUGUGAGCUUAGCUGUGAAACCCUAAGAUGUGAGCAGAGGCGGAAGAGGUGCAUCUGGAGCAGGCUUUGGAGGAAGACGAUGAUGCCGCUUAGUCUCCUUAGG
This is a long non-coding RNA of Vigna angularis (adzuki bean), 285 nucleotides long. RefSeq lists it as uncharacterized. The transcript is spliced from 3 exons. The record is from RefSeq and is a predicted model, not a curated record. NCBI's taxonomy places the organism in Eukaryota, Viridiplantae, Streptophyta, Magnoliopsida, Fabales, Fabaceae.